GAAGUUUUGAAAACGUGUCUGAAAGCGCCAAAUCAAGCAGCCUAAAGAGAAGGAGAAAAGAGGAGAGAGGAGGUGGGAGGGCAAUAUGGCAUGUGAACUCUCUCAUGUAAAAGAGAGGAGAAACAAUCAGAGAAGAAAAGAGUCAUGAAAAGAUGAGGAAAAAGGAUGAGGAGAGGAGAGGAGAAGAGAGGAGAGGAGCCAAGAAAACCCUGAACUGCCUCUUCAUAAACUACAAGUGAACCAUGUUUCUACAAAGAUUUUUAGCACGAUCAAACAGUGCAAAACAAGUGUUUGAAAUACAGUGAUGAAAGAAAGAAACAUCUCAGUUUGGUCUCUGUGGUUCUUGCAUUGUUUUUUUGUUUUUUGUUUUUCCCACCUACACCACAUCCAACCAGGUCCUGAACAACAAGCACUUCACUUAGACAAAGUCAAACCUGGACUAGAUUAUCCACAUGAAACUGGUUUCACAGUUUCAGAUUUGUGAAACUUUUGUUUUAUUUGUGAAAACGCAGACAUUUAAAUUCUAU
Long non-coding RNA from Lates calcarifer (barramundi perch), 527 nucleotides. RefSeq lists it as uncharacterized. The record is from RefSeq and is a predicted model, not a curated record. The transcript is spliced from 4 exons. Lineage: Eukaryota; Metazoa; Chordata; Actinopteri; Centropomidae.